This 524-nucleotide ribosomal RNA is filed under the name uncultured bacterium. RNAcentral's name for it is "partial 16S ribosomal RNA". It matches the Rfam family "Bacterial small subunit ribosomal RNA", at positions 28 to 523 of the family's 1533-position model. The record is from RNAcentral.
GACGAACGCUGGCGGCGUGCCUAAUACAUGCAAGUCGAGCGCAGGAAAUCGACGGAACCCUUCGGGGGGAAGUCGACGGAAUGAGCGGCGGACGGGUGAGUAACACGUAAAGAACCUGCCCUCAGGUCUGGGAUAACCACGAGAAAUCGGGGCUAAUACCGGAUGGGUCAUCGGACCGCAUGGUCCGAGGAUGAAAGGCGCUUCGGCGUCGCCUGGGGAUGGCUUUGCGGUGCAUUAGCUAGUUGGUGGGGUAAUGGCCCACCAAGGCGACGAUGCAUAGCCGGCCUGAGAGGGUGAUCGGCCACACUGGGACUGAGACACGGGCCAGACUCCUACGGGAGGCAGCAGUAGGGAAUCUUCCACAAUGGACGAAAGUCUGAUGGUGCAACGCCGCGUGAACGAUGAAGGCCUUCGGGUCGUAAAGUUCUGUUGUAAGGGAAGAACAAGUGCCGCAGGCAAUGGCGGCACCUUGACGGUACCUUGCGAGAAAGCCACGGCUAACUACGUGCCAGCCGCCGCCGUAA